GGGGCUAAUACCGGAUGUGGUUAGUGAGACGCAUGUCUUAUUAAUUAAAGGAGCGAUCCGCUUAGAGAUGAACUUGCGGCCCAUUAGCUAGUUGGCGGGGUAAAGGCCCACCAAGGCAACGAUGGGUAGCCGGCCUGAGAGGGUGUACGGCCACAUUGGGACUGAGAUACGGCCCAGACUCCUACGGGAGGCAGCAGUAGGGAAUUUUGCGCAAUGGACGAAAGUCUGACGCAGCAACGCCGCGUGAGGGAUGACGGCCUUCGGGUUGUAAACCUCUGUUGGAUGGGAAAAAAAGGUAGCAAUACUUUGAUGGUACCAUUUGAGGAAGCACCGGCUAACUACGUGCCAGCAGCCGCGGUAAUACGUAGGGUGCAAGCGUUGUUCGGAAUCACUGGGCGUAAAGGGAGCGUAGGCGGGAUCGUAAGUUAGAAGUUUAAUACAUGGGCUUAACCCGUGGCUGGCUUUUAAUACUGCGGUUCUUGAGUGUGGGAGAGGGCGAUGGAAUUCCAGGUGUAGCGGUGGAAUGCGUAGAUAUCUGGAAGAACACCAGUAGCGAAGGCGGUCGCCUGGCCUAACACUGACGCUGAUGCUCGAAAGCUAGGGGAGCAAACAGGAUUAGAUACCCUGGUAGUCCUAGCCGUAAACGAUGAACACUAGUUGCCGGAGGAGUCAAUCUUUUUGGUGACGAAGCUAACGCAUUAAGUGUUCCGCCUGGGAAGUACGCUCGCAAGAGUGAAACUCAAAGGAAUUGACGGGGGCCCGCACAAGCGGUGGAGCAUGUGCUUUAAUUCGAUGCAACGCGAAGAACCUUACCUAGACUUGACAUGGGGGUGAAAUUCUGUAGAAAUAUGGAACCUUCCGCAAGGAACACCCUACACAGGUGCUGCAUGGUUGUCGUCAGCUCGUGUCGUGAGAUGUUGGGUUAAGUCCCGCAACGAGCGCAACCCUCGCCCUUAGUUGCUAACAGGUUAUGCUGAGAACUCUAAGGGGACCGCCUAGUUUAACUAGGAGGAAGGUGGGGAUGACGUCAAAUCCUCAUGGCCCUUACGUCUAGGGCUA
RNAcentral lists this ribosomal RNA (1059 nucleotides) under uncultured Chitinivibrionia bacterium. RNAcentral's name for it is "bacterial SSU rRNA". It matches the Rfam family "Bacterial small subunit ribosomal RNA", at positions 159 to 1216 of the family's 1533-position model. Lineage: Bacteria; Pseudomonadati; Fibrobacterota; Chitinivibrionia. The record is from RNAcentral.